RNAcentral lists this unclassified non-coding RNA (88 nucleotides) under Pseudomonas orientalis. Lineage: Bacteria; Pseudomonadati; Pseudomonadota; Gammaproteobacteria; Pseudomonadales; Pseudomonadaceae. The record is from RNAcentral.
GUGGGAGGGGGCUUGCCCCCGAUGGCGGUGUGUCAGUCACUGUAUGUAUAGACUGAACCCCUGCUAUCGGGGGCAAGCCCCCUCCCAC